Triticum aestivum (bread wheat) is the source of this 110-nucleotide non-coding RNA. Lineage: Eukaryota; Viridiplantae; Streptophyta; Magnoliopsida; Poales; Poaceae. The record is from Rfam.
UAAGUAAUCCCUCCGUCUGGAAAUACUUGUCGAAGAAAUGGAUAAAAAUGGAUGUAUCAAGAACUACUUCCAUUUUUCCGACAAGUAUUUCCGGACGGAGGGAGUACUAG